RNAcentral lists this long non-coding RNA (4143 nucleotides) under Homo sapiens (human). RNAcentral describes it as "long non-coding RNA NONHSAT198616.1". The record is from RNAcentral. Lineage: Eukaryota; Metazoa; Chordata; Mammalia; Primates; Hominidae.
UACGGUAUGCGUUUUACACUUGUAGCACAUCUCAAUUCAGAUUAGCCACAUUUCAAGUGUUGUAUGGCUACACACAAGUCAGCACACAUGGCCACAGCUACCUUAUUGGACGUUAAAGGCAUAGUCGUCUCCACAAGAAAAUGGUAACAGCAGUCACCUCUGGAGAGAAGAACCUCUCUGGAUACCUGGGUAAGAGGAAGAACUGCUCUUCAUUCUAUGCCUUUUUGAGCUUUUCAAAUUUCAUGCCUUGUGCAUUGCCUUUUCUGAAUAAAAUGAGUAAAACAGUUUUACAGCAAUUCUUUACAGUAACUUCUUAUUCACUCUGCCAUACAAAUAGGGACGGAUGAUUCAUACAAUGUGAGGACAAUUAUCAGCAACCAAUGACUCUUUCUUACUCCCUGGAGUCUUGUCAUUGCUUAGUAAUUUAAGGAAUCCGUCUCAGGGACAAGCAACAGUUUGCCACUGAGAGAAUGGAGUCAGGUUGGGGACACAUUCCCAAACUGGAAAUUCAUCAAAUUAGAAACAGGGUUUUGUAACUAAUUUAUAGCUGAGAAAAUGAAAUACGAAAGGAUCCUAGCUGGUGGGGAUCCUCUCACACAUCCCUACCAUGAGCUCAGAGAAGCCUCCAUGUCAGGACACAGCCGGAAACUGCAGGGGGCACGUGAAGGCAAAGACAGGAAGAAGAGGACAGGAAGGAGAGGUGAGGAAAGAGGAGGUUUCCAUAAACAGGAAACCACCAGGUGGCCUUUUCACCUCUUAAAUCUUGAGGGAGACAAGCGGAGAACCCCACUCCCAACCAAGAGAGAGGACCUACCGUUUCCCAAUCAGCGGAAUGUGGAAAUGCUCAACAGGACUGAAGUGAGGUUAAACUCUCUUCCUCUAAUUCUUCCCCGAGUGGCAAGGUGGGUUAUCAGGAGGGAGAAAGAGCAGGGUGGAUGGGUGGGUUGAUGGGAAGGGACAUGGGAUGCAUCCGUGGGAUUUCACAGAUGCUGGCAGGACAUAGGAUGGAGUGGGGCAGUAGUCAAGGCAAGAGCUGUGGCUGUGUAGAAAUAUCAGCGAUCAGGACACUCAUCAAGGCAUUGUUCAUGACCUGAUCACACUGAAGACUGCCUCGAUGCUUUCAUUUGGAGGGUAUUUGUGAUGUAAUUCAGGGUUAAAAGCAAAUUUUAAAACAAUAGGACACUGUAAUUUCACUCGUAGAAAUAAACACACACACACAUAUAACACCUACAGUCACAUGACUGGACAGAUAUUUAUUAAAACAAAAAGGGAAGUGAUGGGACUAGAGAUGUUUGCUGAUUUUCCUUUUAGCUUACCUGUAUUUUCCAGAGUUUUCACCAGUGAGCUCAUAUUCAUUAGCAAUAAUGUGGAGGGGGUCACAGAUUUCUCUCACAACCGUUGGACAUACAGAAAAGAGGGAGUUUCCUUAUUUGAACUGUAACUAACCCAUUCUUCUUUACAAUCCCCAGUUGUCAGAGGAGAAACAUUAAGUUUUCAUCCUGUCUACUUUAAAAUAUAGCUCAAUCCAGUACACAAAAUAGUCCAUCUAGAAUAUGCACUGUCUGGUUUCACAGCCGCUAAUGCCUCUUUAAUUUUAAAUGUGAACACUUAAAAUUUAAUUCCCCACACACUUAUCCUAUUUGACUUCCCUUUUAUUUCUUAAAAUAAUUAUCAAAAAAAUGAGGUUUAUUUUCACUGCUCUUUACUCAGAAAUAGUUUAGCUCUCUUCCUAGAUGUCCUUAGAAGUCGAAUAAUUAGAAGUUGAUUUUUAACUUAUAUGUGUUCUAUGAUUUUUAAAAUGUAAAAAUAGAUAUACAAGGGAAUUGUGACUCAGAGAAUAUACAAAUAACUGUGUUAGCAUGUAAGGAUUAGGAGGGGUACUGUUUUUCUAUUUUAAAUUCUCUUUUAAUGUUAUUAUAUUAUUUUUACAAUUAAAAAUGUUUAAAAUAAAAAAUAAUAAUAAUUCCUAUCACUGGGUACAGGUCUAGCGUUUCAUAGCUACACACUACUCAUGGCUACAUAUUAUAUAUUCAGAAUGUUUUUAUCAUCCCAGAAUGCCCUAUUGGAUACAGCUGCUCCAAACAGUGCUGGAUCUCAGAUUUCUCCACCAUCACCCUUGGCUGACUAGGUCUGGGUAAGGUCUGGAUGUGUGGAGAAUGAGUGUAGCUCCCCUUCCUCCCUUCCUUCUGGCUUUGGUGGGCAGGAACCCUGUGGUCUGGUGCUAGUCUUUAGUGAGGCCGGAUGCCUCGACCUUGGAGCCCUUCCGUGGUCUUUGCUACCAUACAAAUAUCCCUGUCUCAACUUCCUGGCUUCAGGGGUCUUACAGAGGCCCAGUCUGUAUGUGUCCCAUUGACAUAGCUCCCUAGUCUCCUUAAGAAGGCCUGGGGCUUGCAGAAGGAAGUGAGCCAGGCUUGCUCACCUGACCACCUUCUGGGACCUACGCAAUAGUCUGGGCCUGUGGGCUUCUCUGGACUCCCUGUCACCCCAGCCUCAGCAUCUCCAGACACUGGGAACUCUAUUCCCCCAGAAGCCUACCACAACCACGUCUGAUUACAUCUGCAUACUACCACAUUUUUCCCGAGUCUGAUGCAUUGAGGGACUCUAAAGAGACUACAAUUUUCCCAGGCUGUGCCCAAGAAGUAGGGGCAAGGCCCCAGCCCUCAGACCCCCUGAGACUUCUCUGGCUGGUGGUGCGCAUCUCCUCUUCCAGAAGUUUCAACGCAGUGGGGGACAGGCCCAGGUGCCCGCUUCUCACCUCUCUCCCUCUCCUUUUCUCUUAACUACUUUUCUUCUUCCCAUAGCUCCUCAGAGAUGAAACAGGAUGGGAUAUUCAUUGACUAUUCAGUGUCAUAACGGCAGAGCAACAAGACUGGUAACCAGGCUUUCUCAUCCCUAGUUGAAAAAGCAAGGCCUUUUCCUUUGUGUAUUUUAGAGGGAAAUCAAGGAAUUUUUAAAAUUCCUCCUCAAAACAAUGGCUGGCUUGUAAGGCCAUUGUCUUCCCACAGAAUGCGGUUUUAUUUUCAGUGGAGGCGGGGAUUAUUACUUGCACCUUUGUCUUUGCAUUCUAUAUGUAAGAUUUCUAAUCUCCACAUCCUCCACUUGUGUUUUCCCACCCCACCCAUGCAGGCAGAGGGAAGCCCUGGUCCCACGAAGGCACAAAUCAUUUCCUCAAAAAGAUUAACCAGAAACAGCACAUGAGCAAGUUUCAAAUCGUCACACCCAUUACAAUAAGGAAGACACAAUUUUCAUUUUUACAUUUUUUAUGACAGCUGUUGGCUCAGGCUAAUCAGAAACUAUCUUUAGAGAGGAGGUAUUUCCCAAGGUCACAUGUUUUAAUAUAAUUAGCGUGAGAUCAAAUGGAUGUUAAGGAGUUGGCAUCCAAAAUCUCCACCACACUACUGGCCUUGUGACCAAAAAAAUCCAAAUUCCAAAACACUUUUGGUCCGAACACUUUCAGAUAAGGGAUACUCAGCCCUUAGUGACUCAGGAAAUAACCCAUGAUAAUAAUAUUACUAUACUACUACUUACCAAUAACAAUGACAACAUAAACAGAAGAAGUCUUAAAUCAGAGGAUAACAGUAAUAGUAAUAGCCUAGUUUUUGUUUCUAGGCCAAGGAUUAUGGUUUAAAAUGGACAUAAGCAGUACCAUUAAGUGGUUUUAUUUCAUAGAAUCUCUAAAUGCAGUAGAAUCACAGGGCUGACAGAAGCCUUAGAGACCACUUCCCCAACUCCCCAUGCAACAUUCAUAUGUCCUGACAGCAGUAACAAGCUCUUCUCCAAACUCUGCUUGAAUAUCUCCACAGAAGAGAAGCUCACCACUCCCACAGGUGAUUUUUUUUCUUCUGAGUUCUGAUGGUUCUAAUUCUCUUCCUUACAUUACGUAUUACUUUCUCUCAUUAUAACUUUUUCCCAUUUAUUCAUUUUUUAAAAAGUUGUUCAUGACUAAUCAAACACAGCAGUUUGUAAAGCAUUACAAAGGUUUAUAAAGUAAAAAUUAAGGUUCCCCCACUACGUCCCACCAGAUUCUAUUCCCCAGAGGUGAUCAGAUUCUUUAUACAAUUAAUUUUUUGUUUUUUUGUUUUUUGUUUUUUGUUUUUUUGGGACAGAGUCUCGCUCUUUCGCCCAGGCUGGAGUGCAGUGGCG